This 279-nucleotide ribosomal RNA is filed under the name Pholcus cf. maronita Isr43. RNAcentral's name for it is "partial 12S ribosomal RNA". Lineage: Eukaryota; Metazoa; Arthropoda; Arachnida; Araneae; Pholcidae. The record is from RNAcentral.
CGCUAUUGACUGGCGGGCUUUAAAUUUAGAGAAUCGUUUAAAUCCCAAAAACCCGUUAACUUUCACUUACUAUAACAUUCAGCCUAUAUACCGCCGUUUAGGGUUCCUCACUCUCAAACCCCAUUAAUUUAAUCAAAAAUCAGGUCAAGGUGUAGCUAAUAAGUAAGAAAAAGUAAGUUACACUUAAAAACAAUUUAAGGAAGCCAAAAGCCAACCCAAAAGAGAAGUUAUCUGUAUAUACUAAUUAAAAUUUAGCAUUGAACCAGUAAAUAAAGAUGU